GGUUAAGCGACUAAGCGUACACGGUGGAUGCCCUGGCAGUCAGAGGCGAUGAAGGACGUGCUAAUCUGCGAUAAGCGCCGGUAAGGUGAUAUGAACCGUUAUAACCGGCGAUUUCCGAAUGGGGAAACCCAGUGUGAUUCGUCACACUAUCAUUAACUGAAUCCAUAGGUUAAUGAGGCGAACCGGGGGAACUGAAACAUCUAAGUACCCCGAGGAAAAGAAAUCAACCGAGAUUCCCCCAGUAGCGGCGAGCGAACGGGGAGGAGCCCAGAGCCUGAAUCAGCAUGUGUGUUAGUGGAAGCGUCUGGAAAGGCGCGCGAUACAGGGUGACAGCCCCGUACACAAAAGCGCAUGUGCUGUGAGCUCGAUGAGUAGGGCGGGACACGUGGUAUCCUGUCUGAAUAUGGGGGGACCAUCCUCCAAGGCUAAAUACUCCUGACUGACCGAUAGUGAACCAGUACCGUGAGGGAAAGGCGAAAAGAACCCCGGCGAGGGGAGUGAAAAAGAACCUGAAACCGUGUACGUACAAGCAGUGGGAGCACCCUUUGGGGUGUGACUGCGUACCUUUUGUAUAAUGGGUCAGCGACUUAUAUUCUGUAGCAAGGUUAACCGUAUAGGGGAGCCGCAGGGAAACCGAGUCUUAACCGGGCGUUAAGUUGCAGGGUAUAGACCCGAAACCCGGUGAUCUAGCCAUGGGCAGGUUGAAGGUUGGGUAACACUAACUGGAGGACCGAACCGACUAAUGUUGAAAAAUUAGCGGAUGACCUGUGGCUGGGGGUGAAAGGCCAAUCAAACCGGGAGAUAGCUGGUUCUCCCCGAAAGCUAUUUAGGUAGCGCCUCGUGAAUUCAUCUCCGGGGGUAGAGCACUGUUUCGGCUAGGGGGCCAUCCCGGCUUACCAACCCGAUGCAAACUGCGAAUACCGGAGAAUGUUAUCACGGGAGACACACGGCGGGUGCUAACGUCCGUCGUGAAGAGGGAAACAACCCAGACCGCCAGCUAAGGUCCCAAAGUCAUGGUUAAGUGGGAAACGAUGUGGGAAGGCCCAGACAGCCAGGAUGUUGGCUUAGAAGCAGCCAUCAUUUAAAGAAAGCGUAAUAGCUCACUGGUCGAGUCGGCCUGCGCGGAAGAUGUAACGGGGCUAAACCAUGCACCGAAGCUGCGGCAGCGACGCUUAUGCGUUGUUGGGUAGGGGAGCGUUCUGUAAGCCUGCGAAGGUGGCCUGUGAGGGUUGCUGGAGGUAUCAGAAGUGCGAAUGCUGACAUAAGUAACGAUAAAGCGGGUGAAAAGCCCGCUCGCCGGAAGACCAAGGGUUCCUGUCCAACGUUAAUCGGGGCAGGGUGAGUCGACCCCUAAGGCGAGGCCGAAAGGCGUAGUCGAUGGGAAACGGGUUAAUAUUCCCGUACUUGGUGUUACUGCGAAGGGGGGACGGAGAAGGCUAUGUUGGCCGGGCGACGGUUGUCCCGGUUUAAGCGUGUAGGUGUGUGUUCCAGGUAAAUCCGGUUCACUUUAACACUGAGGCGUGACGACGAGGCACUACGGUGCUGAAGCAACAAAUGCCCUGCUUCCAGGAAAAGCCUCUAAGCAUCAGGUAACAUCAAAUCGUACCCCAAACCGACACAGGUGGUCAGGUAGAGAAUACCAAGGCGCUUGAGAGAACUCGGGUGAAGGAACUAGGCAAAAUGGUGCCGUAACUUCGGGAGAAGGCACGCUGACACGUAGGUGAAGUGAUUUACUCACGGAGCUGAAGUCAGUCGAAGAUACCAGCUGGCUGCAACUGUUUAUUAAAAACACAGCACUGUGCAAACACGAAAGUGGACGUAUACGGUGUGACGCCUGCCCGGUGCCGGAAGGUUAAUUGAUGGGGUCAGCGCAAGCGAAGCUCCUGAUCGAAGCCCCGGUAAACGGCGGCCGUAACUAUAACGGUCCUAAGGUAGCGAAAUUCCUUGUCGGGUAAGUUCCGACCUGCACGAAUGGCGUAAUGAUGGCCAGGCUGUCUCCACCCGAGACUCAGUGAAAUUGAACUCGCUGUGAAGAUGCAGUGUACCCGCGGCAAGACGGAAAGACCCCGUGAACCUUUACUAUAGCUUGACACUGAACAUUGAGCCUUGAUGUGUAGGAUAGGUGGGAGGCUUUGAAGUGUGGACGCCAGUCUGCAUGGAGCCGACCUUGAAAUACCACCCUUUAAUGUUUGAUGUUCUAACGUGGACCCGUAAUCCGGGUUGCGGACAGUGUCUGGUGGGUAGUUUGACUGGGGCGGUCUCCUCCUAAAGAGUAACGGAGGAGCACGAAGGUUGGCUAAUCCUGGUCGGACAUCAGGAGGUUAGUGCAAUGGCAUAAGCCAGCUUGACUGCGAGCGUGACGGCGCGAGCAGGUGCGAAAGCAGGUCAUAGUGAUCCGGUGGUUCUGAAUGGAAGGGCCAUCGCUCAACGGAUAAAAGGUACUCCGGGGAUAACAGGCUGAUACCGCCCAAGAGUUCAUAUCGACGGCGGUGUUUGGCACCUCGAUGUCGGCUCAUCACAUCCUGGGGCUGAAGUAGGUCCCAAGGGUAUGGCUGUUCGCCAUUUAAAGUGGUACGCGAGCUGGGUUUAGAACGUCGUGAGACAGUUCGGUCCCUAUCUGCCGUGGGCGCUGGAGAACUGAGGGGGGCUGCUCCUAGUACGAGAGGACCGGAGUGGACGCAUCACUGGUGUUCGGGUUGUCAUGCCAAUGGCACUGCCCGGUAGCUAAAUGCGGAAGAGAUAAGUGCUGAAAGCAUCUAAGCACGAAACUUGCCCCGAGAUGAGUUCUCCCUGAGACUUAGAGUCUCCUGAAGGAACGUUGAAGACGACGACGUUGAUAGGCCGGGUGUGUAAGCGCAGCGAUGCGUUGAGCUAACCGGUACUAAUGAACCGUGAGGCUUAACCUU
This 2906-nucleotide ribosomal RNA is filed under the name Salmonella enterica subsp. enterica serovar Goldcoast. Its description in RNAcentral is "23S ribosomal RNA". It matches the Rfam family "Bacterial large subunit ribosomal RNA". The record is from RNAcentral. Lineage: Bacteria; Pseudomonadati; Pseudomonadota; Gammaproteobacteria; Enterobacterales; Enterobacteriaceae.